Molecule: long non-coding RNA, 552 nt
Organism: Dioscorea cayenensis subsp. rotundata (Guinea yam)
Lineage: Eukaryota; Viridiplantae; Streptophyta; Magnoliopsida; Dioscoreales; Dioscoreaceae
Exons: 3
Source: RefSeq, a predicted model, not a curated record
UUUAUGUUGACAACUACUACCAGUAAAUUAAUUUUCCCUAAUUUAAUCCAUCAAACUCAAACCAAAACCAAAUAGCACCAUAAGUUUUUCACAAUCUAAUUAUCCCAGAUCAUCUCCACAUAUUGUUAUUUGUUGGUACUAAAAGUUUUGAGCUAGAGAUCAAAAGCUUUAAGUUUAUCUGUUUGUGAACAUCAAAAAUGGCAUCAAGAAAACUAGUUAUCUUACUUGCAAUGAUAACAUUUUCACUUGCAAUUUUAUCAACUUUUAUGUUUCCAUCCAAACAUGCAAUAUCUCCACUUUUCCCUGCAUUUACUGUUACUGAUCCUCAUCUUUCUGAAAUGAGUCCCAAAGUUAGUGAUCCAGAAAAACCUUUCCUGCUGCUGAAUGAUCUCCAAAGUAUCAGAAAUUUGGAUGAAGGAACAUGAACCUUACCAUCAUAAUCAAUCAUUUGGUAUUAUGUUUUCAACUUGGAUGAAGGAUGCUGUUGCAAUAUUCAUGUAUUUCCAAACAGUUAUUAGCAUGUAAUAUGUAAUUUAUUCAGCCACUUUCUCA